AUUUAACGCUGGCGGCAGGCCUAACACAUGCAAGUCGAGCGAGCGGCGGACGGGUGAGUAAUGUAUGGGGACUGCCCGAUAGAGGGGGAUAACUACUGGAAACGGUGGCUAAUACCUCCUACUGUCGGAUAACCCAUAUGGGAUUAGCUAGUAGGUAAUUGAAUGGAUUACCUAGGCGACGAUCCCUAGCUGGUCUGAGAGGAUGAUCAGCAACACGGGGAGUGAGACACGGCCCAGACUCCGACGGAGGCAGCAGUGGGGAAUAUUGCACAAUGGGUGCAAGCCUGAGGCAGACAUGCUGCGUGUAUGAAGAAGGCCCUAGGGUUGUAAAGUACUUUCAUUCGGUAGGCGUUACCGACAGAAGAAGCAACGGCUAACUCCGUGCCAGCAGCCGCGGUAAUUC
This 403-nucleotide ribosomal RNA is filed under the name uncultured bacterium. Its description in RNAcentral is "partial 16S ribosomal RNA". It matches the Rfam family "Bacterial small subunit ribosomal RNA", at positions 32 to 526 of the family's 1533-position model. The record is from RNAcentral.